This 255-nucleotide ribosomal RNA is filed under the name uncultured bacterium. RNAcentral's name for it is "partial 16S ribosomal RNA". It matches the Rfam family "Bacterial small subunit ribosomal RNA", at positions 524 to 777 of the family's 1533-position model. The record is from RNAcentral.
UACGUAGGGUGCGAGCGUUAAUCGGAAUUACUGGGCGUAAAGCGUGCGCAGGCGGUUUUGUAAGCCAGGUGUGAAAUCCCCGGGCUCAACCUGGGAAUGGCAUUUGGGACUGCAAGGCUGGAGUGCGGCAGAGGAGACUGGAAUUCCGUGGUGUAGCAGUGAAAUGCGUAGAUAUCAGGAGGAACACCGAUGGCGAAGGCAGGUCUCUGGGCUGACACUGACGCUCAUGCACGAAAGCGUGGGGAGCAAACAGGG